AACUGAAACGGUAAUUCAGGUGGCCUGCGGACUUCGGUUUGCAGGCUUAAACGGGAAGUCGGUGCGCACGGGUUUAUUCACCAACCCACGCUAUUCCGACGCUGCCCUCGCAACGGUAAACGAGUCAAAGCCAGGUCCAUCACCACUGUGCCAACGCAUGGGAAGGGGGUCUGGCAGAACAAGCUUUUUAGCUUCUUCACUCGUGAGCCCGGAGACCGGCCUGAUUUCUUGCGCGUGA
Molecule: non-coding RNA, 238 nt
Filed under: Polaromonas naphthalenivorans
Lineage: Bacteria; Pseudomonadati; Pseudomonadota; Betaproteobacteria; Burkholderiales; Comamonadaceae
Also listed under: 1 other name
Source: RNAcentral